AGUGGAAUAGCUGGGUCAAAUGGUGGGUCCAUUCCUAGUUUUUUGAGGAAUCUCCAUACUGCUUUCUGGAAAGAUUGCACCAAUUUGCAGUCUCACCAGCAAU
RNAcentral lists this microRNA precursor (103 nucleotides) under Marmota monax (woodchuck). The record is from RNAcentral. Lineage: Eukaryota; Metazoa; Chordata; Mammalia; Rodentia; Sciuridae.